Molecule: long non-coding RNA, 355 nt
Filed under: Crocodylus porosus (Australian saltwater crocodile)
Lineage: Eukaryota; Metazoa; Chordata; Crocodylia; Crocodylidae
Description: lncRNA (ENSCPRG00005004816.1)
Source: RNAcentral
CUCCACCCCUGUCUCAGGAAGCACCAGUUAGCCAUGGGAUGAAUAAAAGGAUAUGUGAUAGAGCGAAAAAAUAUGGAAUAAUGAAAUACGGAAUAAUGCAAGAAGAUAAAUUAGCAGACUGUGCAUGCAAGAAGACAAGAAGCUGAUCUGUGUUGAGCUAUCACCACCUAGUGGCGUACAGUAACACCAAAGAAAUAACAGAGAAGCAUAUGCAUGUGUUUUAAACUUCUUUUUAGUCUGAGAUGGGGUAGAAACUGUUUUGGAAACUAAGUUCCAGGCGUGCAUUACUGUUGCCUGUCAACGAGUGAGACUCAAGACAAAUAAAUACAAUUGAGAGCUAUUACUUAAUGAUUAA